UGAGUGCGAGCUGCUACGGCAGCGAAGUGGGUGACGUCAAGCUUCCAAGAAAAGCCCUAUACCCGUUAAGGCAUGAUUGCCUGUACCCGAAACCGACACAGGUGGGGUGGUAGAGAAUACCGAGGGGCGCGAGGUAACUCUCACUAAGGAACUCGGCAAAAUGGCCCCGUAACUUCGGGAGAAGGGGUGCCACCGCAAGGUGGUCGCAGUGAAGAGGCCCAGGCGACUGUUUACCAAAAACACAGGUCUCCGCUAAGUCGCAAGACGAUGUAUGGGGGCUGACGCCUGCCCAGUGCCGGAAGGCUAAGGAAGCUGGUCAGCGUAAGCGAAGCUGGCGACUGAAGCCCCGGUGAACGGCGGCCGUAACGAUAACGGUCCUAAGGUAGCGAAAUUCCUUGUCGGGUAAGUUCCGACCCGCACGAAAGGCGUAACGAUCUGGGCGCUGUCUCGGAGAGAGGCUCGGCGAAAUAGAAUUUCUGUGAAGAUGCGGACUACGUGCACCCGGACAGAAAGACCCUAUGAAGCUUUACUGUAGCUUGGUAUUGUGCCCGGGCUCGCAAUGCGCAGGAUAGGUGGGAGGCUUUGAUCAUCGGCUUGCGGGUCGAUGUGAGCCACUGGUGAGAUACCACUCUUUGCGAGCUAGGGUUCUAACGGCCACCCGUGAUCCGGGGGCCGGACAGUAUCAGGUGGGCAGUUUGACUGGGGCGGUCGCCUCCUAAAAGGUAACGGAGGCGCGCAAAGGUUCCCUCAGGCUGGUUGGAAAUCAGCCGACGAGUGUAAAGGCAAAAGGGAGCUUGACUGUGAGACCUACAAGUCGAACAGGGACGAAAGUCGGCCUUAGUGAUCCGACGGUUCUGAGUGGAAGGGCCGUCGCUCAACGGAUAAAAGUUACUCUAGGAUAACAGGCUGAUCUCCCCCAAGAGUUCACAUCGACGGGGAGGUUUGGCACCUCGAUGUCGGCUCAUCGCAACCUGGGGCUGAAGUCGGUCCCAAGGGUUGGGCUGUUCGCCCAUUAAAGCGGUACGCGAGCUGGGUUCAGAACAUCGUGAGACAGUUCGGUCCAUAUCCGGUGCAUGCGCAGGAAUAUUGAGAGGAGUUCUCCCUAGUACGAGAGGACCGGGAGGAACGCACCUCUGGUGUACCAGUUAUCGUGCCAACGGUAAACGCUGGGUAGCCAUGUGCGGAGAGGAUAACCGCUGAAAGCAUCUAAGUGGGAAGCCCACCUCAAGAUGAGUAUUCCCAUGGCAUAAGCCAGUAAGGUCACGGGAAGAACACCCGUUGAUAGGCUCUACGUGGAAGCGCAGUAAUGCGUGAAGCGGAGGAGUACUAAUAGACCGAGGGCUUGACC
RNAcentral lists this ribosomal RNA (1348 nucleotides) under metagenome. RNAcentral describes it as "bacterial LSU rRNA". It matches the Rfam family "Bacterial large subunit ribosomal RNA", at positions 1564 to 2925 of the family's 2925-position model. The record is from RNAcentral.